RNAcentral lists this ribosomal RNA (226 nucleotides) under uncultured Thermus sp. RNAcentral describes it as "partial 16S ribosomal RNA". It matches the Rfam family "Bacterial small subunit ribosomal RNA", at positions 355 to 585 of the family's 1533-position model. Lineage: Bacteria; Thermotogati; Deinococcota; Deinococci; Thermales; Thermaceae. The record is from RNAcentral.
UUAGGAAUCUUCCGCAAUGGGCGCAAGCCUGACGGAGCGACGCCGCUUGGAGGAGGAAGCCCUUCGGGGUGUAAACUCCUGAACCCGGGACGAAAUCCCUGUGGAGGGGGCUGACGGUACCGGGGUAAUAGCGCCGGCCAACUCCGUGCCAGCAGCCGCGGUAAUACGGAGGGCGCGAGCGUUACCCGGAUUUACUGGGCGUAAAGGGCGUGUAGGCGGCCUGGGG